RNAcentral lists this ribosomal RNA (1248 nucleotides) under metagenome. Its description in RNAcentral is "bacterial LSU rRNA". It matches the Rfam family "Bacterial large subunit ribosomal RNA", at positions 1664 to 2925 of the family's 2925-position model. The record is from RNAcentral.
GGGAUGAGGAGAGAAUCCUAAGGCCGACGGGAGAAGCAUUGUUAAGGAACUCGGCAAAAUGACCCCGUAACUUCGGGAGAAGGGGUGCCUCGAAAGAGGCCGCAGAGAAUUGGCCCAAGCAACUGUUUAGCAAAAACACAGGUCUAUGCAAAACCGAAAGGUGAGGUAUAUGGGCUGACGCCUGCCCGGUGCUGGAAGGUUAAGAGGAGAGCUUAGCGCAAGCGAAGGUUUGAAUUUAAGCCCCAGUAAACGGCGGCCGUAACAAUAACGGUCCUAAGGUAGCGAAAUUCCUUGUCGGGUAAGUUCCGACCCGCACGAAAGGCGUAAUGAUUUGGGCGCUGUCUCGACAAUGCACCCGGUGAAAUUGAAGUACCAGUGAAGAUGCUGGUUACCCGCGCCAGGACGGAAAGACCCCAUGGAGCUUUACUCUAGCUUGAUACUGGGAUUCGGUAUUGUCUGUACAGGAUAGGUGGGAGGCUAUGAACCGUGGACGCCAGUCUGCGGGGAGCCGCUGUUGGGAUACCACCCUUACAAUACUGGAUUUCUAACCUGCCGCCAUGACCUGGCGGAGGGACAAUGUCUGGUGGGGAGUUUGACUGGGGCGGUCGCCUCCGAAAGAGUAUCGGAGGCGCUCAAAGGUCCUCUCAGGAUGGACGGAAACCAUCCGAAGAGUGCAAAGGCAUAAGAGGGCUUGACUGUGACACCGACGGGUGGAGCAGGUACGAAAGUAGGACUUAGUGAUCCGGUGGUAGAAAGUGGGAUUGCCAUCGCUCAACGGAUAAGAGCUACCCUGGGAUAACAGGCUUAUCACUCCCAAGAGUUCACAUCGACGGAGUGGUUUGGCACCUCGAUGUCGGCUCAUCGCAUCCUGGGGCUGUAGCAGGUCCCAAGGGUUGGGCUGUUCGCCCAUUAAAGCGGUACGCGAGCUGGGUUCAGAACGUCGUGAGACAGUUCGGUCCCUAUCCGGCGCGGGCGUAGGAUAUUUGAGAGGAGCUGUCCUUAGUACGAGAGGACCGGGAUGGACGAACCGCUGGUGGAUCGGUUGCAUUAUCAAGUGCAUGGCCGAGUAGCCAAGUUCGGAAGGGAUAAACGCUGAAGGCAUCUAAGCGUGAAGCCCCCCUCAAGAUGAGAUAUCCCAUUCUUUAAAAGAAGUAAGACCCCUUGAAGACCACGAGGUAGAUAGGGCAGAGGUGGAAGUACGGUAACGUAUGGAGCUGACUGUCACUAAUCGGUCGAGGGCUUGAUCAA